UAAUUAGGGUGCAAGCGUUGUCCGGAUUUAUUGGGUUUAAAGGGUGCGUAGGUGGCUUUUUAAGUCAUGGGUGAAAGCCCGCAGCUCAACUGUGGAAUUGCCUGUGAUACUGAGGAGCUUGAGUGCGGUUGAGGCAGCUGGAAUUGGUGGUGUAGCGUUGAAAUGCAUAGAUACCACCAGGAACACCGAUUGCGAAGGUAGGUUGCUAAGCCGUAACUGACACUGAGGCACGAAAGCGUGGGGAGCAAACAGG
This 253-nucleotide ribosomal RNA is filed under the name uncultured bacterium. RNAcentral's name for it is "partial 16S ribosomal RNA". It matches the Rfam family "Bacterial small subunit ribosomal RNA", at positions 524 to 776 of the family's 1533-position model. The record is from RNAcentral.